AUUGAACGCUGGCGGCAUGCCUAACACAUGCAAGUCGAACGGGCUGUAGCAAUACAGCUAGUGGCGGACGGGUGAGGAAUACAUGGGAACUUGCCUUUAGGUGGGGGAUAGUCCGGGGAAACUCGGUUUAAUACCGCAUGAUGUCGCAAGACCAAAGCAGGGGAUCGCAAGACCUUGCGCCUUUAGAGAGGCCCAUGUCUGAUUAGCUAGUUGGUAGGGUAACGGCCUACCAAGGCGACGAUCAGUAACUGGUCUGAGAGGACGAUCAGUCACACCGGAACUGAGACACGGUCCGGACUCCUACGGGAGGCAGCAGUGGGGAAUAUUGGACAAUAGGCGAAAGCCUGAUCCAGCAAUGCCGCGUGUGUGAAGAAGGCCUUCGGGUUGUAAAGCACUUUGAUCUGGGAAGAAAAAGCUUUGGCUAACAUCCAAAGCCUUGACGGUACCAGAGGAACAAGCACCGGCUAACUCUGUGCCAGCAGCCGCGGUAAUACAGAGGGUGUUAGCGUUAAUCGGAUUUACUGGGCGUAAAGCGUGUGUAGGCGGUUCGCUAAGUCGGAUGUGAAAGCCCUGGGCUCUACCUAGGAAUUGCAUUCGAUACUGGC
Molecule: ribosomal RNA, 605 nt
Filed under: uncultured bacterium
Lineage: Bacteria
Description: bacterial SSU rRNA
Rfam family: Bacterial small subunit ribosomal RNA
Source: RNAcentral